CAACCCAAGCCCAUAGGAGAAAGACCAUGUAUCACCAGCUUGCAACCCGUUUCGGCCGCAACGCGCACCAGAUCAGCGGGCGCGAGCCGCUCGAUAACGAGGCGCUUUACCGCCACGUCCCAUCGAUCUUCGCGCGCGAGGCGCAUGACAGCCGUUCGGAACGCUAUAUCUAUGUUCCCACCAUCGACAUCGUGGAGGGAUUGCGCCGCG
This 210-nucleotide unclassified non-coding RNA is filed under the name Hevea brasiliensis (rubber tree). Lineage: Eukaryota; Viridiplantae; Streptophyta; Magnoliopsida; Malpighiales; Euphorbiaceae. The record is from RNAcentral.